Molecule: ribosomal RNA, 28 nt
Filed under: Helicostylum elegans
Lineage: Eukaryota; Fungi; Mucoromycota; Mucoromycetes; Mucorales; Mucoraceae
Description: partial 18S rRNA
Source: RNAcentral
UUUCCGUAGGNGAACCUGCGGAAGGAUC